RNAcentral lists this long non-coding RNA (582 nucleotides) under Drosophila guanche. The record is from RNAcentral. Lineage: Eukaryota; Metazoa; Arthropoda; Insecta; Diptera; Drosophilidae.
ACCCCCCGUGCCGCCGCAGAGUUUUUGCCAAAUGUUUGACACGAGUUCGGGGUGCGGGGUGCGGGUUGCGGGAUAUCCUGUAUCCUCUCUUCAAAUGUGGCAAAAGUCAGAUAUGGGUGUGUGCGAAAAGCAACCCUCGGGUUGGGUUCCUUUGCUGCUGCAUUUGUUGUUGCCAAUUCAAAUUGCCAAUUAUCGAUGAAUUUGCAGAAAACCCAAACAGACAGACUGAGAAGACAGAGGGGCGCGGUGCGGUGUGUCAGCUUAAGCGGCUCUCGGUUCUCCCUGCUCAAUAUUUUGCUAGUUCUUUGUAUUGGCAUUAGGGUGGGGUCCGCUCUUCCUUUUGUGUGCUUGUGUGCAACAUUAUGCAAAUCAAAUGUGCCACAUAUCAUUGUCGAUUGCAAUAUUAUUGCUGCAAUUCAGCGCGGAGCACUUUGGCCUGUCAUUUUUGGGCUCUUUGAACACCUGGAAAUCAAUGCUUAAAAGGGAAAUAAAUUCGUUUUCCUUUUUUGGGAAAAACUUUCCCAGCAAAAAACAAGUUUCUUAGAUUUUUUUUAACUGAAAUCUGAGAUUCCUGCAGCCAGC